ACAUACGACCAUAACUACCAGAAAAUACGGGAUCCCGUCCGCUCUCCCAUAGUCAAGCUGGUAAGGGGCGGAUUAGUAGUUGGGUCGGUGACGACCAGCGAAUCCCCGCUGUUGUAUGU
RNAcentral lists this ribosomal RNA (119 nucleotides) under Fusarium cerealis. The record is from RNAcentral. Lineage: Eukaryota; Fungi; Ascomycota; Sordariomycetes; Hypocreales; Nectriaceae.